Molecule: ribosomal RNA, 347 nt
Filed under: uncultured bacterium
Lineage: Bacteria
Description: bacterial SSU rRNA
Rfam family: Bacterial small subunit ribosomal RNA
Source: RNAcentral
GAUGAACGCUGGCGGCGUGCUUAACACAUGCAAGUCGAACGGAGUUUACAUGAAACCUAGUGAUUGUAAACUUAGUGGCGGACGGGUGAGUAACGCGUGGGUAACCUGCCUUGUACUGGGGGGACAACAGUUGGAAACGACUGCUAAUACCGCAUAAGCGCACAGCUUCGCAUGAAGCAGUGUGAAAAACUGAGGUGGUACAAGAUGGACCCGCGUCUGAUUAGCUAGUUGGUGGAGGUAACGGCUCACCAAGGCGACGAUCAGUAGCCGGCCUGAGGAGGGUGAACGGCCACAUUGGGACUGAGACACGGCCCAAACUCCUACGGGAGGCAGCAGGUGGGAAUAUU